GUAAGGAAUAUUGGUCAAUGGGCGGGAGCCUGAACCAGCCAAGUCGCGUGAAGGAAGAAGGAUCUAUGGUUCGUAAACUUCUUUUGCAGGGGAAUAAAGUGCAGGACGUGUCCUGUUUUGUAUGUACCCUGAGAAUAAGGAUCGGCUAACUCCGUGCCAGCAGCCGCGGUAAUACGGAGGAUCCGAGCGUUAUCCGGAUUUCUUGGGUUUAAAGGGUGCGUAGGUGGUUUGAUAAGUCAGCGGUGAAAGUUUGCAGCUUAACUGUAAAAAUGCCGUUGAAACUGUCGGACUUGAGUGUAAAUGAGGUAGGCGGAAUGCGUGGUGUAGCGGUGAAAUGCAUAGAUAUCACGCAGAACUCCGAUUGCGAAGGCAGCUUACUAAGCUACAACUGACACUGAAGCACGAAAGCGUGGGGAUCAAACAGGAUUAGAAACCCUGGUAGUCC
RNAcentral lists this ribosomal RNA (445 nucleotides) under uncultured bacterium. RNAcentral's name for it is "partial 16S ribosomal RNA". It matches the Rfam family "Bacterial small subunit ribosomal RNA", at positions 354 to 796 of the family's 1533-position model. The record is from RNAcentral.